GACGAACGCUGGCGGUGUGCUUCACACAUGCAAGUCGAACGAGGUAGCAAUACCUAGUGGCGGACGGGUGAGUAACGCGUGGAAUCUGCCUUUAGAUGGGGGGAUAACGGGUCGAAAGACUCGCUAAUACCGCAUAUGACGAAAGUUGAAAGGAGUAAUCCGUCUAAAGAUGAGCCCGCGUCCGAUUAGCUAGUUGGUAGAGUAAAAAGCCUACCAAGGCGACGAUCGGUAGCUGGUCUGAGACGGAUGAUCAGCCACAAUGGGACUGAAGACACGGCCCAUACUCCUACGGGAGGCAGCAGUGGGAAUUUUACGCAAUGGGCGAAAGCCUGACGUAGCGACACCGCGUGAGCGAAGAAGCCCCUUGGGGUGUAAAGCUCUGUCAGCUGGAACGAAAAAAUGACGGUACCAGCAGAGGAAGCAUCGGCUAACUACGUGCCAGCAG
RNAcentral lists this ribosomal RNA (445 nucleotides) under uncultured bacterium. Its description in RNAcentral is "bacterial SSU rRNA". It matches the Rfam family "Bacterial small subunit ribosomal RNA", at positions 28 to 514 of the family's 1533-position model. The record is from RNAcentral.